RNAcentral lists this ribosomal RNA (468 nucleotides) under uncultured bacterium. RNAcentral describes it as "bacterial SSU rRNA". It matches the Rfam family "Bacterial small subunit ribosomal RNA", at positions 355 to 825 of the family's 1533-position model. The record is from RNAcentral.
UGAGGAAUAUUGGACAAUGGGCGCAAGCCUGAUCCAGCCAUGCCGCGUGCAGGAUGACGGUCCUAUGGAUUGUAAACUGCUUUUGUACAGGAAGAAACAGUUCUACGUGUAGAACCUUGACGGUACUGUAAGAAUAAGGAUCGGCUAACUCCGUGCCAGCAGCCGCGGUAAUACGGAGGAUCCAAGCGUUAUCCGGAAUCAUUGGGUUUAAAGGGUCCGUAGGCGGUUAGAUAAGUCAGUGGUGAAAGCCCAUCGCUCAACGGUGGAACGGCCAUUGAUACUGUCUGACUUGAAUUAUUAGGAAGUAACUAGAAUAUGUAGUGUAGCGGUGAAAUGCUUAGAGAUUACAUGGAAUACCAAUUGCGAAGGCAGGUUACUACUAAUGGAUUGACGCUGAUGGACGAAAGCGUGGGUAGCGAACAGGAUUAGAUACCCCCGUAGUCCCUGAGUCGGGCUGGCAAGGCGCAU